This 112-nucleotide ribosomal RNA is filed under the name uncultured eukaryote. RNAcentral's name for it is "partial small subunit ribosomal RNA". It matches the Rfam family "Eukaryotic small subunit ribosomal RNA", at positions 1676 to 1785 of the family's 1831-position model. The record is from RNAcentral.
UCGCUACUACCGAUUGAAUGGCUUAGUGAGGCCUCCGGAUUGGCUUAAGAAAGGGGGCAACCUCAUUCUGGAGCUGAAAAGCUGGUCAAACUUGGUCAUUUAGAGGAAGUAA